RNAcentral lists this long non-coding RNA (424 nucleotides) under Nicotiana benthamiana. RNAcentral's name for it is "long non-coding RNA (NBEN_LNC006738)". The record is from RNAcentral. Lineage: Eukaryota; Viridiplantae; Streptophyta; Magnoliopsida; Solanales; Solanaceae.
UCCAGAAGAAGAGAGAAGAUAUUAUUUCACAAAAUGACCCCUCAGGUCUGUUUACAAACGACCCCUACGCCUAUAUACAAAUGACCCCUUUACACUUAUAGCCUAUUACAUAAAUAGCCACUUACAGAAAUAACCCUAUUACACAAUUAGCCUAUUAGGCUCAGAUAUGACUCCCUCAUUGACACAAAAUAGUCUAUGGAUGGGGUUUAUCAUCAUUGCCCUACAUAUAUCUCAACACCCCCCCCCCUCAAGUUGAAGGGGGAAANNNNNNNNNNNNNNNNNCCCUACAUAUAUCUCAACAAAUGACCCCUUUACACUUAUAGCCUAUUACAUAAAUAGCCAAUUACAGAAAUAACCCUAUUACACAAUUAGCCUAUUAGGCUCAGAUAUGACUCCCUCAUUGACACAAAAUAGUCUAUGGAUG